This 21-nucleotide small RNA is filed under the name Arabidopsis thaliana (thale cress). RNAcentral describes it as "Ath_wt_00543". Lineage: Eukaryota; Viridiplantae; Streptophyta; Magnoliopsida; Brassicales; Brassicaceae. The record is from RNAcentral.
ACAAUGUAGGCAAGGGAAGUC